This 348-nucleotide RNase P RNA is filed under the name Bacteroidales bacterium. Its description in RNAcentral is "RNase P RNA component class A". It matches the Rfam family "Bacterial RNase P class A". Rfam says of the family: Ribonuclease P (RNase P) is a ubiquitous endoribonuclease, found in archaea, bacteria and eukarya as well as chloroplasts and mitochondria. Lineage: Bacteria; Pseudomonadati; Bacteroidota; Bacteroidia; Bacteroidales. The record is from RNAcentral.
AAAGCAGGCUGUUCUAUCGCAGCGAAAGUUGAGGAAAGUCCGGGCAACGCAGGGCGCCAUGCUUCCUAACGGGAAGUUGUUGCGAGGCAGAUUAGCGUAACAGAGAAUAACCGCCGGUUUCGCGAUCGGUAAGGGUGAAAAGGCAGGGUAAGAGCCUACCGGUUCCGAUGGUAACACCGGAAGCCGUACGCAUCAUGGGUUGUAAGGCUAUAUAUACCGUCGUUUGAGAGUAGCCCGCUCGAUUGACGGGGGGUAAGCCGCAUGACUGCGGUAGCGAUGCCGCAGCAAGAUAAAUGAUAGAACCCGGGAAACCGGUGACAGAACCCGGCUUACAAGCCUGCUUUUUUU